Molecule: long non-coding RNA, 740 nt
Organism: Suricata suricatta (meerkat)
Lineage: Eukaryota; Metazoa; Chordata; Mammalia; Carnivora; Herpestidae
Exons: 3
Source: RefSeq, a predicted model, not a curated record
UAAGGGACAUUUCCCUUCCUUAUUUCCAAAGUCAUCAGGGAAGGAACCAGUUCCCUGAACUUGGGCUGGGGGCAGGGGGGGGGGCUGUAUAACAUGGAGAGGACUGAAGCUGUGGCCUGACCUGGAGAGAUGGAGCUGACUUAUGAGGCAUCAACUCCCCCAUAUCUCUGAGCUUGCAUGUACUGGGCAAAGCAAGCUCUCACUAGUGCUCAAGACACUGGAAAAGCCCUGGGCAGAAAGGAAAAUUCAAAGUACAGACCAGAGGCAAGAAGCUGUCUGCUUGAACCAUAUCUGUAGGACCUCAGAUUCAAGACUAGCCACUCGAAUUCCUGCCUGGGUCCACACCACUCCCAGAGUGGGCUUAAGAAACCACCAGUCUGAUUACGUUAUGCCUCUUUAAUCCUAUAGUGGUUGCCUUUAAGAUAAAGAGCAAACUCUUUAGCAGGACAUAUCAAGUGAUUCAUGAUCCAGGGGCCACCAGCAGUUAGGACCCAUCCAUUCCAACUGCACAGUUACCUGAAAAGAAUGUGGUUCCCCACCCAGCCUCAGUCUUCCAACCCACUCUGGCAAACACCAGCUCAUCCUUAGGACUUCAUUCAGGCAUCGCCUGAAGUCCUCUGGUUUCCCUGAUCACCCUGAGGUGGACUUAGGCCCUCCCGUCUCACUCUUGUCAGAGCUUCCUAGUCAGUCUUCAAUUACGAUAUAUAUCAAAGCACAUUGCAAAAUUUGCCUUUUAGUUU